RNAcentral lists this ribosomal RNA (827 nucleotides) under uncultured bacterium. RNAcentral describes it as "bacterial SSU rRNA". It matches the Rfam family "Bacterial small subunit ribosomal RNA", at positions 39 to 856 of the family's 1533-position model. The record is from RNAcentral.
GCUACAGGCUUAACACAUGCAAGUCGAGGGGAAACGAUAUUGGAAGCUUGCUUCCGAUAGGCGUCGACCGGCGCACGGGUGAGUAACGCGUAUCCAACCUGCCCACCACUUGGGGAUAACCUUGCGAAAGUAAGACUAAUACCCAAUGAUAUCUCAAGAAGACAUCUGAAUGAGAUUAAAGAUUUAUCGGUGAUGGAUGGGGAUGCGUCUGAUUAGCUUGUUGGCGGGGUAACGGCCCACCAAGGCGACGAUCAGUAGGGGUUCUGAGAGGAAGGUCCCCCACAUUGGAACUGAGACACGGUCCAAACUCCUACGGGAGGCAGCAGUGAGGAAUAUUGGUCAAUGGGCGAGAGCCUGAACCAGCCAAGUAGCGUGCAGGAUGACGGCCCUAUGGGUUGUAAACUGCUUUUAUAAGGGAAUAAAGUGAGUCUCGUGAGGCUUUUUGCAUGUACCUUAUGAAUAAGGACCGGCUAAUUCCGUGCCAGCAGCCGCGGUAAUACGGUAGGUCCGGGCGUUAUCCGGAUUUAUUGGGUUUAAAGGGAGCGUAGGCCGGAGAUUAAGCGUGUUGUGAAAUGUAGACGCUCAACGUCAGCACUGCAGCGCGAACUGGUUUCCUUGAGUACGCACAAAGUGGGCGGAAUUCGUGGUGUAGCGGUGAAAUGCUUAGAUAUCACGAAGAACUCCGAUUGCGAAGGCAGCUCACUGGAGCGCAACUGACGCUGAAGCUCGAAAGUGCGGGUAUCGAACAGGAUUAGAUACCCUGGUAGUCCGCACGGUAAACGAUGGAUGCCCGCUGUUGGUCUGAAUAGGUCAGCGGCCAAGCGAAA